CAAGUUUUAUGUUUCAUGGUUAUACUCACCGUUCCUCUGGGUGGUUUGGUUAUUGUUGUUCCUGCUGAAUUAGUGCUUUGGGUUGAUGAGUUUUAUGGUGAGGAGCAUAGAAGCAGUUCAGGCAGCAAAGAGUAAAACAAGUGUCAGAUCAAAACAAAGAGGGCCAUUCUCAGAAAAUUGCCUGUGAUUCUUCUGAUGGUGUCACUAACCAAGUCUCAAAAGAGAGUUUGCAGCAGUCACCGCAAACACAAAGCGAAGAAAUAAAACAGAAUGAUUCUCAAGGGAAAAGGAUAUCUGUUCUGAACAGGAUACGUGUACCGGUCACAUAUGAUGACUUGGUUGGAGAGGAACCGAAAGAUCAAUCAAAUUGAUUAUUAUAAUUAUAAAACAAAGGAUUUUGAGUGUAUAGAGGAUCAUCAUUCCCGGUAUUCAGUUUUGGCAAUUUAAUUCAUUUACUAGU
Long non-coding RNA from Telopea speciosissima, 460 nucleotides. RefSeq lists it as uncharacterized. NCBI's taxonomy places the organism in Eukaryota, Viridiplantae, Streptophyta, Magnoliopsida, Proteales, Proteaceae. The record is from RefSeq and is a predicted model, not a curated record. The transcript has 2 exons.